RNAcentral lists this ribosomal RNA (543 nucleotides) under Longpotamon sp. 2 HTS-2016. Its description in RNAcentral is "partial 16S rRNA". It matches the Rfam family "Bacterial large subunit ribosomal RNA", at positions 1829 to 2625 of the family's 2925-position model. The record is from RNAcentral. Lineage: Eukaryota; Metazoa; Arthropoda; Malacostraca; Decapoda; Potamidae.
GUUUGUUUGAAGCUAUAAAGAAUUUGACCUGCCCCCUGAUUAACUAUUAAAGGGCCGCAGUAUUAUAACUGUGCAAAGGUAGCAUAAUCAUUAGGUUUUUAAUUGAAAUCUCGUAUGAAUGGUUGGACAAAAGAAAGACUCUCUUUAUAUUAAGUUUUGAAUUUAACUUUUAAGUGAAAAGGCUUAAAUAUUCUAAAGGGACGAUAAGACCCUAUAAAACUUUACAUUGUCAUUAAUUUUGAUUGAAUUUAUAAAAUAAGAAUUUUAUUUGAUCAUCUGUUAUGUUGGGGAGACACAAGUAAAAUAUUUUUUUAACUGCUUGAUAGUUAUACAAUUAUUAGUGAGUAAGUAGAAGAUCCUUUUUAAGAUUAGUAGAUUAAGUUACUUUAGGGAUAACAGUGUAAUUUCUUUUGAGAGUUCUUAUCGAAAAAGAAGGUUGCAACCUCGAUGUUGAAUUAAAAUAUCUAUAUAAUGGAGAGGUUAUAUAAGAAGGUCUGUUCGACCUUGAAAUUUUUACAUGAUUUGAGUUCAAACCGGUGUGAG